This is a small RNA of Pyrobaculum aerophilum str. IM2, 60 nucleotides long. It matches the Rfam family "Pyrobac-1 RNA". From Rfam's summary of the family: The motif has been shown by to be part of sRNA202 and sRNA203 canonical and noncanonical pseudouridine guide RNA (H/ACA RNA). NCBI's taxonomy places the organism in Archaea, Thermoproteati, Thermoproteota, Thermoprotei, Thermoproteales, Thermoproteaceae. The record is from Rfam.
ACAACCGCGACGGGCUGUGGAGAGCCGCGCCCGCGGCGCCGUGAAACAGCCUGACGGUGU